RNAcentral lists this ribosomal RNA (497 nucleotides) under uncultured bacterium. RNAcentral describes it as "partial 16S ribosomal RNA". It matches the Rfam family "Bacterial small subunit ribosomal RNA", at positions 28 to 507 of the family's 1533-position model. The record is from RNAcentral.
GAUGAACGCUGGCGGCGUGCCUAAUACAUGCAAGUCGAGCGAACGGACGAGAAGCUUGCUUUUCUGAUGUUAGCGGCGGACGGGUGAGUAACACGUGGAUAACCGACCUAUAAGACUGGGAUAACUUCGGGAAACCGGAGCUAAUACCGGAUAAUAUUUUGAACCGCAUGGUUCAAAAGUGAAAGACGGUCUUGCUGUCACUUAUAGAUGGAUCCGCGCUGCAUUAGCUAGUUGGUAAGGUAACGGCCUACCAAGGCAACGAUGCAUAGCCGACCUGAGAGGGUGAUCAGCCACACUGGAACUGAGACACGGUCCAGACUCCUACGGGAGGCAGCAGUAGGGAAUCUUCCGCAAUGGGCGAAAGCCUGACGGAGCAACGCCGCGUGAGUGAUGAAGGUCUUCGGAUCGUAAAACUCUGUUAUUAGGGAAGAACAUAAGUGUAAGUAACUGUGCACAUCUUGACGGUACCUAAUCAGAAAGCCACGGCUAACUACGUG